RNAcentral lists this ribosomal RNA (1993 nucleotides) under Escherichia albertii. RNAcentral describes it as "bacterial LSU rRNA". It matches the Rfam family "Bacterial large subunit ribosomal RNA", at positions 836 to 2812 of the family's 2925-position model. Lineage: Bacteria; Pseudomonadati; Pseudomonadota; Gammaproteobacteria; Enterobacterales; Enterobacteriaceae. The record is from RNAcentral.
AACCGGGAGAUAGCUGGUUCUCCCCGAAAGCUAUUUAGGUAGCGCCUCGUGAAUUCAUCUCCGGGGGUAGAGCACUGUUUCGGCAAGGGGGUCAUCCCGACUUACCAACCCGAUGCAAACUGCGAAUACCGGAGAAUGUUAUCACGGGAGACACACGGCGGGUGCUAACGUCCGUCGUGAAGAGGGAAACAACCCAGACCGCCAGCUAAGGUCCCAAAGUCAUGGUUAAGUGGGAAACGAUGUGGGAAGGCCCAGACAGCCAGGAUGUUGGCUUAGAAGCAGCCAUCAUUUAAAGAAAGCGUAAUAGCUCACUGGUCGAGUCGGCCUGCGCGGAAGAUGUAACGGGGCUAAACCAUGCACCGAAGCUGCGGCAGCGACACUGUGUGUUGUUGGGUAGGGGAGCGUUCUGUAAGCCUGUGAAGGUGUGCUGUGAGGCAUGCUGGAGGUAUCAGAAGUGCGAAUGCUGACAUAAGUAACGAUAAAGCGGGUGAAAAGCCCGCUCGCCGGAAGACCAAGGGUUCCUGUCCAACGUUAAUCGGGGCAGGGUGAGUCGACCCCUAAGGCGAGGCCGAAAGGCGUAGUCGAUGGGAAACAGGUUAAUAUUCCUGUACUUGGUGUUACUGCGAAGGGGGGACGGAGAAGGCUAUGUUGGCCGGGCGACGGUUGUCCCGGUUUAAGCGUGUAGGCUGGUUUUCCAGGCAAAUCCGGAGAAUCAAGGCUGAGGCGUGAUGACGAGGCACUACGGUGCUGAAGCAACAAAUGCCCUGCUUCCAGGAAAAGCCUCUAAGCAUCAGGUAACAUCAAAUCGUACCCCAAACCGACACAGGUGGUCAGGUAGAGAAUACCAAGGCGCUUGAGAGAACUCGGGUGAAGGAACUAGGCAAAAUGGUGCCGUAACUUCGGGAGAAGGCACGCUGAUAUGUAGGUGAAGCGACUUGCUCGUGGAGCUGAAAUCAGUCGAAGAUACCAGCUGGCUGCAACUGUUUAUUAAAAACACAGCACUGUGCAAACACGAAAGUGGACGUAUACGGUGUGACGCCUGCCCGGUGCCGGAAGGUUAAUUGAUGGGGUCAGCGCAAGCGAAGCUCUUGAUCGAAGCCCCGGUAAACGGCGGCCGUAACUAUAACGGUCCUAAGGUAGCGAAAUUCCUUGUCGGGUAAGUUCCGACCUGCACGAAUGGCGUAAUGAUGGCCAGGCUGUCUCCACCCGAGACUCAGUGAAAUUGAACUCGCUGUGAAGAUGCAGUGUACCCGCGGCAAGACGGAAAGACCCCGUGAACCUUUACUAUAGCUUGACACUGAACACUGGUCCUUGAUGUGUAGGAUAGGUGGGAGGCUUUGAAGUGUGGACGCCAGUCUGCAUGGAGCCGUCCUUGAAAUACCACCCUUUAAUGGCUGGUGUUCUAACGUUGGCCCCUUACCGGGGUUGCGGACAGUGUCUGGUGGGUAGUUUGACUGGGGCGGUCUCCUCCUAAAGAGUAACGGAGGAGCACGAAGGUUGGCUAAUCCUGGUCGGACAUCAGGAGGUUAGUGCAAUGGCAUAAGCCAGCUUGACUGCGAGCGUGACGGCGCGAGCAGGUGCGAAAGCAGGUCAUAGUGAUCCGGUGGUUCUGAAUGGAAGGGCCAUCGCUCAACGGAUAAAAGGUACUCCGGGGAUAACAGGCUGAUACCGCCCAAGAGUUCAUAUCGACGGCGGUGUUUGGCACCUCGAUGUCGGCUCAUCACAUCCUGGGGCUGAAGUAGGUCCCAAGGGUAUGGCUGUUCGCCAUUUAAAGUGGUACGCGAGCUGGGUUUAGAACGUCGUGAGACAGUUCGGUCCCUAUCUGCCGUGGGCGCUGGAGAACUGAGGGGGGCUGCUCCUAGUACGAGAGGACCGGAGUGGACGCAUCACUGGUGUUCGGGUUGUCAUGCCAAUGGCACUGCCCGGUAGCUAAAUGCGGAAGAGAUAAGUGCUGAAAGCAUCUAAGCACGAAACUUGCCCCGAGAUGAGUUCU